UCUCCUGUAGCUCAGUGGUAGAGCAUCUGUACGAUGUGUGCGGAAGGUUUAUAGAUUCGAGCUCCUGUUGGGAGAA
Desmophyllum pertusum is the source of this 76-nucleotide non-coding RNA. Lineage: Eukaryota; Metazoa; Cnidaria; Anthozoa; Scleractinia; Caryophylliidae. The record is from the annotation of a GenBank genome assembly.